Molecule: unclassified non-coding RNA, 332 nt
Filed under: uncultured fungus
Lineage: Eukaryota; Fungi
Description: partial contains small subunit ribosomal RNA, internal transcribed spacer 1, and 5.8S ribosomal RNA
Rfam family: Eukaryotic small subunit ribosomal RNA (bases 1-73)
Source: RNAcentral
UCAAACUUGGUCAUUUAGAGGAAGUAAAAGUCGUAACAAGGUUUCCGUAGGUGAACCUGCGGAAGGAUCAUUAUUGAUUUUUUAAAGGAUGUGCUGGCCUCCUUGGGGCAAUGUGCACUCCCAAAAAAAAAACCAAAACAUAUCCCACCUGUGCACUUUUCAGUAGGCAAAAAAUUGACUUUUUGCAAGUCUCUUGCAAAGUCGUCUUCUUCUUGCCUAUGUUUCAUUACAAACACUUGAGCUUAUUUGAAUGCCUCACAUACAAUGACAUAAUUUGUAAAACAACUUUCAACAAUGGAUCUCUUGGUUCUCGCAUCGAUGAAGAACGCAGC